RNAcentral lists this long non-coding RNA (786 nucleotides) under Citrus x clementina. RNAcentral describes it as "Citrus clementina (C. clementina) long non-coding RNA (CCLE_LNC001673)". The record is from RNAcentral. Lineage: Eukaryota; Viridiplantae; Streptophyta; Magnoliopsida; Sapindales; Rutaceae.
GCUAUAGCCUUGGGGGGUGGGGCUGGCCAACUUCGUCCGCCGGACUCGGAAUGCCGCGAGACUUUGCGAGGGGCCUCCGUGUGCCAAAAAUAGGCCGCAGGCAAAGCCGAAUCCAAAAAUAACUGCCCGAAGGCAGGGGCGCCAAGUUCGUGCAGCGGAAAAAGGCCACAAAAACGGGUGGCUAUAGCCUUGGGGGGUGGAACUGGCCCACUUCGUCCGCCUAACUCGGAGUGCCGUGAGACUUUGCGAGGGGCCUCAGUGUGCCAAAAAUAGGCCGUGGGCAAAGCCGGGCCCAAAAAUAACCGCCCGAAGGCCGGGGCGACAAAUUAGUCCAGCGGAAAAAGGCCACAAAAACGGGUGGGCUAUAGCCUUGGGGGAUCGGGCUGGCCAACUUCGUCCGCCGGACUCUUAAUGCCGUGAGACUUUGCGAGGGGCCUCCGUGUGCCAAAAACAGUCCGUGGGCAAAACCGCAUCCAAAAAUAACCGCCCGAAGGCCGGGGCGCCAAGUUCGUCCAGCGGAAAAAGGCCACAAAAACGGGUGGGCUAUAGCCUUGGGGGGUGGGGCUGGCCAACUUCGUCCGCCGGACUCAGAAUGCCGCGAGAUUUUGCGAGGGGCCUCCGUGUGCCAAAAAUAGGCCGCGGACAAAGCCGGGCCCAAAAAUAACCGCCCGAAGGCCGGGGCGCCAAGUUCGUCCGGCGGAAAAAUGCCACAAAAACGGGUGGGCUAUAGCCUUGGGGGUUGGGGCUGGCCAACAUCGUCCGCCGGACUCGGAAUGCCGCGAGCCU